UACGUAGGGUGCGAGCGUUAAUCGGAAUUACUGGGCGUAAAGCGUGCGCAGGCGGCUUUGCAAGACAGAUGUGAAAUCCCCGGGCUCAACCUGGGAACUGCAUUUGUGACUGCAAAGCUGGAGUGCGGCAGAGGGGGAUGGAAUUCCGCGUGUAGCAGUGAAAUGCGUAGAUAUGCGGAGGAACACCGAUGGCGAAGGCAAUCCCCUGGGCCUGCACUGACGC
Molecule: ribosomal RNA, 223 nt
Filed under: uncultured bacterium
Lineage: Bacteria
Description: partial 16S ribosomal RNA
Rfam family: Bacterial small subunit ribosomal RNA
Source: RNAcentral